GGAGCGGUAUCGAAGCGGUCAUAACGAGGCGGUCUUGAAAACCGUUUGCCCGAAAGGGCGCGUGGGUUCGAAUCCCACCCGCUCCGCCA
This 89-nucleotide transfer RNA is filed under the name Clostridiaceae bacterium. Its description in RNAcentral is "tRNA-Ser". It matches the Rfam family "tRNA". From Rfam's summary of the family: Transfer RNA (tRNA) molecules are approximately 80 nucleotides in length. Their secondary structure includes four short double-helical elements and three loops (D, anti-codon, and T loops). The record is from RNAcentral. RNAcentral also lists the same sequence under 4 other names. Lineage: Bacteria; Bacillati; Bacillota; Clostridia; Eubacteriales; Clostridiaceae.